GGGAAUACAGCUCAGUGGUAGAAUGCGUGCUUAGCGGGCAUGAGAUCCUGGGUUCGAUCCCAGUACCUCCA
Molecule: transfer RNA, 71 nt
Filed under: Camelus bactrianus (Bactrian camel)
Lineage: Eukaryota; Metazoa; Chordata; Mammalia; Artiodactyla; Camelidae
Also listed under: 2 other names
Rfam family: tRNA
About the family: Transfer RNA (tRNA) molecules are approximately 80 nucleotides in length. Their secondary structure includes four short double-helical elements and three loops (D, anti-codon, and T loops). Further hydrogen bonds mediate the characteristic L-shaped molecular structure. tRNAs have two regions of fundamental functional importance: the anti-codon, which is responsible for specific mRNA codon recognition, and the 3' end, to which the tRNAs corresponding amino acid is attached (by aminoacyl-tRNA synthetases). tRNAs cope with the degeneracy of the genetic code in two manners: having more than one tRNA (with a specific anti-codon) for a particular amino acid; and 'wobble' base-pairing, i.e. permitting non-standard base-pairing at the 3rd anti-codon position.
Source: Rfam by way of RNAcentral